UUGGAGGGCAAGUCUGGUGCCAGCAGCCGCGGUAAUUCCAGCUCCAAUAGCGUAUAUUAAAGUUGUUGCAGUUAAAAAGCUCGUAGUUGAAUUUCGGGGUUCUACCGUUGGUCGGGCUUUGUCUGUACUGGUGUGUAGAAUUUCUACCUUCUGGGGAACCAUCAUGCUAUUAAUUUAGCGUGGUGGGAAACCAGGACCUUUACCUUGAAAAAAUUAGUGUGUUCAAAGCAGGCUUAUGUCUGAAUACAUUAGCGUGGAAUAAUAGAAUAGGACGGUGGUCCUGUUUUGUUGGUUUCUGAAUCACCGUAAUGAUUAAUAGGGAUAGUUGUGGGCAUUAGUAUUCAAUUGUCAGAGGUGAAAUUCUUGGAUUUAUUGAAGACUAACUUCUGCGAAAGCAUUUGCCAAGGAUGUUUUCAUUAAUCAAGAACGAAAGUUAGGGGAUCGAAGACGAUCAGAUACCGUCGUAGUCUUAACCAUAAACUAUGCCGACUAGGGAUCGGACGAUGUUAAUUAUUCUUGACUCGUUCGGCGCCUUACGGGAAAC
This 544-nucleotide ribosomal RNA is filed under the name uncultured Glomeromycotina. RNAcentral describes it as "SSU rRNA". It matches the Rfam family "Eukaryotic small subunit ribosomal RNA", at positions 548 to 1098 of the family's 1831-position model. Lineage: Eukaryota; Fungi; Glomeromycota. The record is from RNAcentral.